This is a long non-coding RNA of Chinchilla lanigera (long-tailed chinchilla), 2891 nucleotides long. RefSeq lists it as uncharacterized. The transcript is spliced from 3 exons. The record is from RefSeq and is a predicted model, not a curated record. NCBI's taxonomy places the organism in Eukaryota, Metazoa, Chordata, Mammalia, Rodentia, Chinchillidae.
AGGGCUGCACACACGAUAGUGCGCACAGGCUCCGGGCUCUUUCUGGCAGCCACCUAUUGCCUCCGACCAGAGGCAGCUGCAGGACUCACCUGUAGGUCUGUUCCCCAGACAGGGGGAAGAACAUCAGUCCCAUCUCCUCAGGGCUUUUGCAACUGAUGCAAAUACAAAGAAAUGCAGGUAAAGAGAGUGAUAAAGCACAUAAGAUCAGCCGCAUAAAAUGCCAAACCAAAGUCAAGGUUUUAUUUUUUUUCUGUAAUGGGAAAGAGAAAAAAAGUAUUUGUAGCAAUAGGGGGAACAAACUGUAAAAAUACAGUUAGCACUCUGGCAGAACUCAAUGGAAAAGGAUACUUUGAUUAGACCCUCUCCUGAGGGCAUCUCCAUGUCCUCAGGAGGUCAUGAGGGUGACCUCCGUGUCCUCAGGGCAAGUGCGAACUCCCAUCCACCCCAGACCACCGCUGCAGGAAGGGCUUACAGGAUGGCACAGCUGUCUCUGGUGCCUGGGAUGACAACUCUAAGGACAGGUAGCCCACCGACUGCCCAAGUUGCCUAGAAGUAAUGGAUGUUGCUUCUCCUCCCCUCUCCUUCUCUCCUCUCCCCCUCUCCUCUCUCUUCCUCUCUUCUCUCCCUCUGAAGGGGAGGCCUUCACAGACAAACUAUGUGGGGUGCAGGCCCAGCAGGACAGAAGCUCCUGGGAAGCAGCCAUUUCCUUGCUGACAAAGCCCCUGGAGGAAAUGCUGACAUCAAUUCACAGCGGUAAAACAAUGAAGGGAUAAGUGUUUCCUGGCAAGGGAAGGGCUGCAGUGCAGCUGGAAGGGAACGGCGCGCUGCGGUCAAGGGCACGGGAGCACAGCCAACUGAGAGACGGCCAAGGAGACAACUGCCCACGUGACUGUCCCCAGGUGGACCAAGAUAACUAUCUUCUGUCCUUGGCCAUCAGAGCUCCUGAUUUAGACUUGCACUGGAUUAUACCUCCACUUCUGUUUCUCCAGUUUGAACAGCGUAUUGUAGGACCCCUCAGCUCCCCUGUUGUACUUCUGUACAUCUCUCUAGCUAUAUUCAUAUCUAUUGCUGUAUUUCCUACUGGUUGUUUCUCUGGAGAACCCUACAAUACCAUUCUUCAUCUCUUCCUUUUUUCUAUCCUUCCAUGUAUCUUUCUAUCCAUCUUGUCUUUGUCUAAAUGUCUCAGAUUAGCUAUUUUGUCCACACAACAACUAAGGAACAAGAACUACAAUAAAAUUCCAGAAAAUCUCAGCAGCCAAAUCUCUAGGAAUUGGGACCCCUUCUUCCAAGCUUCCAAGGCCAGUCACAAAAAAACUUCAUGAUGUAGAACAUCCUCCAAGGAUCCAAUGGUACCAAACUGGAGGUCCCAUUGUUUGGGGUAUGUCCUAAGUUUCUGAAUAGCAUGCGCAUCAGAAAAGAUACAACAACUGUCAUUUGGGGGGAUUUUUGGUAUUUUCUGAACUUGGCAUCAGAGAUCUCUGUAGCAGUCAUGGUAUUUUGAAGUGAGACUUCUUGGAUCUUAAUGUAGGUUUUACCAUUUCUAGAUGUGUGAUCUUGAGCGUGUGCUUGGACCUCUGUAAGCCUCAGUUGGCAUAGCUGUGAAAAAGGAAUCAGAAGGCUGCUGCGAUUAGAAAAAGAAACCCACACAGGAGCACUUGGGACAGUGCCGGUUGUACAUAACAGGUGUUUGGACGGUGUUAGCAAGGAUGGUGACGGUGGUGAUGAUGACGACCAUGGCGGAGACAGUGGCAACCUGAUUAUGAUGGUAACGAUGACAACAGUGAUGAUGAAGAAUAGAGAUGAUGACAGGUGUACGAUGAUGAUAAUGAUGUUUAUGGUAAUAAUGAAGCUGCUGGUGGCUGCUGCUGCUGGUGAUGAUGACUCUGACAGGGAUGGUGAUGGUGAUGGUUUCCUAUUUGACUACUGAUGCUCUGAUGGAGGGAAUGCUCAGUAAGAAGACGUCUCCUUCCAUCCACAGAAGGGAUGUGUCAAGGCUCGGGGACAGAGGGCUUGCCUGGCUCUGUGACUCUAAUCCUAUUUCAAAUGCUUAGCCCAGGGUAAAUAGUCACUCACAUCUUUGUCAGACCAUGUAAUUAAAAAGAAUUCAGAGAGAUGGGGAUACAUUUGGCAUUCUAAUUUUCAAAUUGAUUCCUGCCGUGCCUCGAGGACCGAACAAGCCUCUGCUGGACUCAGGACAUAUGCGGAUCUGGAGACAGAGCUUGGACGCGGAUCCCAACAGGACGUUCCAGGGACCUCAGUCCUCUUACUUGGUGCCCUGUGGCCCCGAGACCGGCUGGAGACUCCACCACAAGGCUCUCCAGGUGCUGAUACUUGCUCACAGCCUUUCCCUCAGGGGCCCACCCUGAAUUCAAGGCGGACACGUGUCUGGGCAUUUCUGUCCAGGAGCUCCUUGUGUGGGAGGACACCAGGAGCUACUCAGCCAGAAAGCCUUGGGGUCAGACUCUCCAGGUACAAGGGUGUGGUGGAAGAAAGCUGCUCAUCUCCUGACAGAAAGGAAGCGGAGAAGGUGAGGGAGCCUGAGAGGAAGGGGCUGGGUAGCAGACACAGUCUCCAGCAUCAUGCCCCUAUGAGCUAUUCCCUCCACACAAGCCCCGCCUCCUGUUUCCAUCUCUCCCCAAUAACGCUGUCAAAUUACCAUCUCGUCAAUAAAUCAGUCCACUGAGAAAGAGCUCCCACUGUGUCUGUGGAUACCCGCAGACACACCCAGAGUGUGGUGUAUGAAUUCCCUAGGUAUUCUGCAGCCAACCGACUUGACAAUCAAGAUCAGCCAUCGCAGUCCAUUUAAAAAUCAAUUAAUUAAGUAUCAAAAGUGUGGACGUUCAGGGAAAUACUUUCUGGUUGUGGAGAGAAAAUUGACAAAAACCUUGAAG